CCAUGAAAUCGUCAGCAUCCCGAUGGUUAGGAGGUGGUUUUUGGCUGACCAUUGGUUCUUUGGGUAGGCCAAUGACCCCACCCCCCGAUCUCCGAUGGAUCGCCGAUCAUGUCUUUUCCCUCUCAGUUGUGAUCGAGACAAGAGAAGGAAGGAGGAAGAAAAGAGGAGCGGAUUUGGGUUUUGGAUUUCAACCCGAAAUCUAAUACCCGAUUGAUUCUUAAAAGGGGAGUUUUGUAAUUUAGCCCC
This 246-nucleotide long non-coding RNA is filed under the name Elaeis guineensis (African oil palm). Its description in RNAcentral is "long non-coding RNA (EGUI_LNC039938)". Lineage: Eukaryota; Viridiplantae; Streptophyta; Magnoliopsida; Arecales; Arecaceae. The record is from RNAcentral.